GCUCAGAUACAGGUUUUGAAAGACAAACUGGAAGCUUAAAGGACCACUCGAGCCAAGGUAGAAAGGGAGAGAACUGACCUCACCGAGAGCUGGAAGACCUGAAUGAGGGGCUGGAGGAGACAGCAGAGGCCAGUUUGGCUCAACUGGAAAUAACUAAAGAACAAGAAACAAAAUUCCAGAAGCUCCGCUGAGACAUGGUAGAGUCCACACUGCACUUUGAGGCAACCUCUGCCUCUUUGAAGAGGCACAGAGACAGCCUGGCUGAGCUGGAGAGCCAGGUAGAAAAUCUACAACAGGUCGAGCAGACACUGGAAAAAGACAAGAGUGACCUGCAGCUCAAAGUGAAUGAUGUCCUGACCCAUGUUGAGCAGAUGACCAGAGCUAAGGGUGAUGCUGAGAACCUCUGUAGUCUGUAUGAGAGCACUUGAAUGAAGAAAAUGCAAAACUAGAUGAAGUGACUCAGUUGGCAAAUGAUCUGACAGCACAGAAAACAACGCUACGGAGUGAAAAUGUUACAGAGCGCCCUGGCCCAGGCCGUGAAGUCGGCCAAGCGUGACUGUGACCUGCUAUGAGAGCAGUACCAGGAAGAACAAGAGGCCAAGGCUGAGCUUCUCUGGGCCCUGUUCAAAGACAAUGCUGAAAUUGUUAAGCGGAGAACCAAGUAUGAAGACGACACCAUCCGGAGCACUGAGGACUUGGAGGAUGCCAAGAAGAAGCUGGCAAUUCGGUCGCAGGAGGCUGCCGAAGCCAUGGGGGUGGCCCAUGCCAGAAGGGCCUCCCUGGAGAGGGCCAGGCUCUGACCGCAGCUCGAGUUCGGGGACACCCUGUUGCAUCGUGGGAAGGCGCACCGUGCGGCCGCUGCGCUGGACCAGCGGCAACAGCACUUCGACCAGUGCCUGGAGGGCUGGAGGCGGGAGCACGAGUAGCCUCAGGCGAUGCCAGACGCCCCGCAGAGGAGGCCGGGGGCCCUCAGCGCCCGGCUCCUCAAGCUCAGGCACACCUACGAGGAGAGCGCCGCGAGUCAGCGGACCCUCCGGAGGGUGAACAAAAACCUGAAGGGUACGUUGCCCUGGGAACCGGAGCAGGGGCCCCGGGAGGGCCCUGCGCCAAGGGCAAGGCUGCCUCGAUGCGCAGAAGCCUCAGCAUCGUCCUGGCCUCGCUUGGGUCUUAACUUUUCCGUUUUGAAUACUAACUUUGGCUUUUGUCUCUUUUUUUAAACUACAGGUACUGUUUUCAUUAAAGGCGUUCUAAACACAAGAGUACUUUCCUAACUUUAGCCCCAGUUCCUGUCCGCAAAGGAAGCCUAUUAAGAAUUUCUUUAUAUCCAUAACCUGCAUAAUAUGCGUACAGGUAUUUUUUACUUAAAUUACACGUUAUUCUAUACCUUUUAUUUUUUCCAUUUAUUAACUUAUUUUCUAAUUUAACAAAUAUCUCUAUAGCCCAUACUACGUGCCAGGCACUGUUCUAUAUAUAACUAUUCAUUGUUUAAGUCUCAGAACAGCCUUAUGUGUUAGUUUAUCUGUAAAAUGCAGAUUAGAUUGAGUCAUUUCAGGUUAAGAACUUGGCCAAAUUCGCAUUUGAUAAGUAGCAGAUCUGAGGUUUGAGCCCAGCCAGCUUGAUUCCGGCAUAUACACACUUAACUAUGGGCUCUGCCACCUCCCAUGUGCCUGUAGCUGGAGCCCUACCAAGUGACUGUUAUUAGCGACACAGUGUUUUAUGAUAAGGCUGACUAACACGUUUAACUAGACCUUAUUAAUUUUAGAUAAAAUUUUUCACAAUUAUAAAUAAUCCUAUAUUGUACAUCCGUGUACAAUGGGGGCGUGUACAAAUAUUUCAGUAGGGUAGAUUCCUAGAAAUGAAAUUGCAGAAUUAAAGGAGUUUUCAAUUUCUGAGAUAUUGCCCAGCAGCCCUUCAAAGAGGCUGCCAACUUAUACCAGCACCAACAGUGAUGUGCAUUCCAACCCUGAGAUGCCCUGGGAGUAAGUUCAUUACUAUUGGAGGCAUAAAUGAAACUUGCUUUCUCUGUUGACCUACCUAGUCCAUGAGCAGGUCACUGACUGGGCCUGUGAGAGGUGCUGGAACAGUUAGAAAACUUUCAUGGCAUCUGAACCACCUGGAGGGCUUGUUAAAACACGGUUGGCUGGGCCCCACCAUCAAGAGUUUCUGAUCCAGUAAGUCUAGGAGGGGGUCUAAGAGUUUGUAUUUCUAAGAAGUCCCCAAGCGAAGCUGGUGCUGUUCGUGUGGGGACCAUACUUGCUCUGGGCUGGAGCCUGGGAAGAAGUCUUUUUCAAAAGCUCUCUGAGUGAUUCUAAGGUAUGGUCAGAAUAGAGAACCACUGCCUUGAGUUUGCUCCUGGGAGCCCCUCUUGUGGAGAGGCUUUAUCAGAGAAGGAUUUAUUAUUCACAUGAGAAUUGCCAUCUCAUGGGUUUGUUUUUGUAACUAAAAAAUUCUUGUCACAGCCUAUCCUAGCUGGGGAUCUCAGAGCCAGAGGAGUGGUCAAGCUCCUGAAUUCCUUCCACUGCCUCUGGACUGUGGGUAUUCCCAGAGCACUUGGCCCUGCUCCACACACCUCUUAGGCUGCAGAGGCUUCCUUCAUGAACAGGCGGAACUGACGGUAACAGUGUCAGGUGCUGGAGGUUUUGUCACUUCUGGCUGCCUUGCUCUUUCAGAGACGUGUGUUCAUCAGAGAGUUCACGCAUUGGCUUCUGGCAGACAGUGACCCAGCUUAUGCUGUAAGUUCCCAUUCUGGUGUUGAGCGACAGCUGACACAGUGGCCGCCACCAGUGUUGAUAGCUAAGCUCUUCCACUGGAAUAGUGAUUCCAGGGCUGGGCCCUAGAGCCCCACCGGGCAAUAUCUGACAUGGCUCUGACAAGCAGGACCGCCAUGUACAGUCGCACAGGUUGUUCAAUGCACAAUACUCUAAGAAACACCAUCCUUACCAGCUGUUGUAGGCAACUUUGUGGCAGAUGCCAAAAGAAUGCUUUGAAGAGGGGAUUCUUUUUUCUAAUUCAAACAAACGUCCCAUAUGUGCCAGCGGUGGCCUUGCCAUCAAGUUACCAAGGAUGGCAUGACCAGGGUCCCAGUGGGCCUCUGGGAACAGUCUCUUUUGGCUGAUAUCAUGGAUCUGAGACUGGUUCUUUUCACUAACUUUGUUUUUCAUCCCUCUCCAGAAGAGAUUUCUAAUCUGAAAAAUCAGUUGAAAGUAGGAAAGAAGAACUUAAGUGAAAUGGAAAAGGUCAAGAAGUAGAUUGAACAAGAAAAGACUGAAGUCCAAAUGGCAUCGGAAGAGGCCGAGGUAUUACCUCCAGGGAACAAAGCAAGCUUCCAUCACUGUGACAGUGCAGAAGACCUGCAUUCUAGUCACAACAACAGCAAGAACACGCUUAUAACCCUUGACCCUUAUUCAGGGGUUAACUGCCUGCUAGGCACUAUGCCGGGCUCUUUGUAUGCACUAUUUUAUGUAAUCACCCUAGCAAACUAUUGUCCUCAUUGUACAAAUGAGGAAAUCGAGGCUAGGGGAACAGGAUAAACAAUCGUGGAUGCAACUCUCUUGAUUAUAAAGAAAACAAGAACCAUGUCUAUCUUGUUCCCUAAUUUAUCCCCUGUACCUAGACCUUCACUACCCUAAACGUGGCCUGUGGACUGGUUGCAUGGGCAUCACCGGGGAGCUUGUUAGAAAUUCAGAUUCUCAGCCUCUCUCCAGCUCUGUUGGAUCAGAAUUUGAAUUUUAACAAGAUCCCUGGGUGGUUCAUAUUUACCCUAACAUUUGAGAAGCACUGGACUAGAACAUUGCCUGGCAUACAGUAG
Molecule: long non-coding RNA, 3808 nt
Filed under: Delphinapterus leucas (beluga whale)
Lineage: Eukaryota; Metazoa; Chordata; Mammalia; Artiodactyla; Monodontidae
Description: lncRNA (ENSDLEG00000009489.1)
Source: RNAcentral